RNAcentral lists this ribosomal RNA (386 nucleotides) under uncultured bacterium. RNAcentral describes it as "bacterial SSU rRNA". It matches the Rfam family "Bacterial small subunit ribosomal RNA", at positions 28 to 416 of the family's 1533-position model. The record is from RNAcentral.
AUUGAACGCUGGCGGCAUGCUUUACACAUGCAAGUCGAGCGGCAGCGCGGGGGCAACCCUGGCGGCGAGCGGCGAACAGGUGAGUAGUGCAUCGGAACGUACCCUGGAGUGGGGGAUAACGCCGCGAAAGCGGCGCUAAUACCGCAUAUGCUCUGAGGAGGAAAGUGGGGGACCGCAAGGCCUCACGCUCUGGGAGCGGCCGAUGUCCGAUUAGCUAGUUGGUGGGGUAAAGGCUUACCAAGGCGACGAUCGGUAGCUGGUCUGAGAGGAUGAUCAGCCACACUGGGACUGAGACACGGCCCAGACUCCUACGGGAGGCAGCAGUGGGGAAUUUUGGACAAUGGGGGCAACCCUGAUCCAGCCAUGCCGCGUGAGUGAAGAAGGCC